RNAcentral lists this small nuclear RNA (111 nucleotides) under Naegleria gruberi. RNAcentral's name for it is "U5 spliceosomal RNA". It matches the Rfam family "U5 spliceosomal RNA". From Rfam's summary of the family: U5 RNA is a component of both types of known spliceosome. The precise function of this molecule is unknown, though it is known that the 5' loop is required for splice site selection and p220 binding, and that both the 3' stem-loop and the Sm site are important for Sm protein binding and cap methylation. The record is from Rfam by way of RNAcentral. Lineage: Eukaryota; Heterolobosea; Eutetramitea; Acrasida; Naegleriidae.
UUGUCUUACCAUUCUUAUAAGCAGACAAUGUCUUUCGCCUUUUACUAAAGACAUCCGUGUGAGAAUGGACAAAUAGAUAACGCUAAUUUUUUCUGCCUCUUCUCAAGAGGU